This 242-nucleotide ribosomal RNA is filed under the name Pseudoalteromonas luteoviolacea. Its description in RNAcentral is "partial 23S ribosomal RNA". It matches the Rfam family "Bacterial large subunit ribosomal RNA", at positions 22 to 269 of the family's 2925-position model. The record is from RNAcentral. Lineage: Bacteria; Pseudomonadati; Pseudomonadota; Gammaproteobacteria; Alteromonadales; Pseudoalteromonadaceae.
CGGUGGAUGCCUUGGCAGUUGGAGGCGAUGAAGGACGUACUAACUUGCGAUAAGCUAAGUCAAGCCAGUAAGAGGCACUUGAGACUUAGAUUUCCGAAUGGGGAAACCCACCGCAUAGCGGUAUCUUGCAGUGAAUACAUAGCUGUAAGAGGCAAACCGGGAGAACUGAAACAUCUAAGUACCCCGAGGAAAAGAAAUCAACCGAGAUUCCGAAAGUAGCGGCGAGCGAAAUCGGAUUAGCC